RNAcentral lists this ribosomal RNA (492 nucleotides) under uncultured bacterium. RNAcentral's name for it is "partial 16S ribosomal RNA". It matches the Rfam family "Bacterial small subunit ribosomal RNA", at positions 29 to 507 of the family's 1533-position model. The record is from RNAcentral.
AGUGAACGCUGGCGGUAGGCCUAACACAUGCAAGUCGAACGGCAGCACAGUAAGAGCUUGCUCUUACGGGUGGCGAGUGGCGGACGGGUGAGGAAUACAUCGGAAUCUACUUUUUCGUGGGGGAUAACGUAGGGAAACUUACGCUAAUACCGCAUACGACCUACGGGUGAAAGCAGGGGAUCUUCGGACCUUGCGCGAUUGAAUGAGCCGAUGUCGGAUUAGCUAGUUGGCGGGGUAAAGGCCCACCAAGGCGACGAUCCGUAGCUGGUCUGAGAGGAUGCUCAGCCACACUGGAACUGUGACACGGUCCAGACUCCUACGGGAGGCAGCAGUGGGGAAUAUUGGACAAUGGGCGCAAGCCUGAUCCAGCCAUACCGCGUGGGUGAAGAAGGCCUUCGGGUUGUAAAGCCCUUUUGUUGGGAAAGAAAAGCAGCAGGUUAAUACCCCGCUGUUCUGACGGUACCCAAAGAAUAAGCACCGGCUAACUUCGUG